RNAcentral lists this long non-coding RNA (293 nucleotides) under Phoenix dactylifera (date palm). RNAcentral's name for it is "long non-coding RNA (PDAC_LNC007312)". The record is from RNAcentral. Lineage: Eukaryota; Viridiplantae; Streptophyta; Magnoliopsida; Arecales; Arecaceae.
AUAAGGAAGGGAGAUGUGACAAGAAGAGAGAGAGAUAGGAAGAUAAGUAUUUCAAAUGAAAGAAGAAAUACAUGGGAUUCGAGAAGAGGAGGUGCUAAGGAUUGGAGAUAUUAGGAAGUAGAUACUAGUAGCCUUCACCUCCUCUUUCUAUCCUACACGAGACAUUGAGUCUCUCUCAUUGAAUAUUGAUGGCCCUUGUCUUUCAUCCCCUUCUUAAAUUCCAAAGUCUCCAUCAUAAAAAGUACGAGCAAGAGCAUGAAAGAAAAUAGGGACAAAAUAGACUUGGCAUAAAA